Long non-coding RNA from Alligator mississippiensis (American alligator), 482 nucleotides. RefSeq lists it as uncharacterized. The record is from RefSeq and is a predicted model, not a curated record. Lineage: Eukaryota; Metazoa; Chordata; Crocodylia; Alligatoridae. The transcript has 2 exons.
UCCCCCUGAGCAGGAAACACCACUUCCCGCCGCGCCCCGUGAGCUGGGGGUGGGGGCUGGGGGGUUUAAAGUCACAGCCUGUGGGGCCAGGGGGAUUCAAGGUGACGACGGGACCAGAGGCAGCAUCCAUGCAGGGUGCCCUGGCUGCCAGCGAUGGAUGCAAGCUCUCGCGGUGGUUGCAGGGGGUGGGCCUUCUCUGCCCCCCACUCUCUCCCAACCCUUGUACCAGUGUCAUGUUACUGGAACCCUGGUACAGAGGAUGGAUGAGAAGGAGGCGUGGGACCCCAGCACCUGCAGCCUCCCCGCCCCACCUCCCCACAGGGCACCAGAGACCUGCCCCAGGAAGGAACAAGCCCUGAUGCCCCUCACUCCCGACCUGCAGCCCCCUGCACCCUCCAGCCCUGGUGCCCCUCACUCCCAAUCUACAGCCCCAUCUGUGUGUCUCUGUUGUUCUGGGCAAUAAACCCUCUCUCUGCACUCCA